CAGAGGCAGAGGCAGAGGCAGCAGCAGCAGCAGUCGCAUCCUUCACAUGUUUUGUAUACGAUCUGAGGCAGUUGCAAUUUAUGCACACAACUUGUCAACGAUGGAACGGUGGCUGGAGGGAGUAGCUUACAAGUGCUGCAUUGGUUAGCCCUGGUGUGGAGAGAAGUGAAGAGGUGGCAGGUGGUUGGGGAAGAAGGAUGAUAGCAGCAAGCAAUUUACACCGCACAAUGCGUUGACACACGUCGUCCGCAAAUGUGCGGCCAGAAGACAAUAGAGAAAGGCACACAGGCAUCCUGGGGAGCGACCAAGUCAGACCUGAUCCGGGUCUGAGAUGCAGCUUCGUGCCUCAUUAAGCCAGAAAAGUGUCAAAUGUCCUGGGUGGCUGCCAAUGCCAGCAACAACACUUCACCCUGGGCCAGCCACUCCAAGUGGCUUUAAUUUUGAGCUAAAAUUUACGACUGUGUACGCCAAGGCGAAGGUUUCAUUCACACCCAUUUAUCCUUGACGCUGUACUCCCCCCAACUUUCACCCACCCAGCUUCAUAAUUCACACAAGUGUUGACAAUGAAAAUGAAAAUCCCAUUAAAAUGCAAUAUGUUGCAGCAACAGAGAGACAGCACUGGACGGGACAGAACCGGACAGGACAGGGGACACGGACACUGACACUCCACUCCACUCCACUCCACUCCAGCCAAGCGGC
RNAcentral lists this long non-coding RNA (699 nucleotides) under Drosophila guanche. The record is from RNAcentral. Lineage: Eukaryota; Metazoa; Arthropoda; Insecta; Diptera; Drosophilidae.